Molecule: ribosomal RNA, 707 nt
Filed under: uncultured bacterium
Lineage: Bacteria
Description: bacterial SSU rRNA
Rfam family: Bacterial small subunit ribosomal RNA
Source: RNAcentral
GUCGAGGGGUAGCAGGAUCUAGCAAUAGAUUGCUGACGACCGGCGCACGGGUGAGUAACACGUAUCCAACCUAGCUAUUACUUGGGGAUAGCCUUUCGAAAGAAAGAUUAAUACCCAAUAGUAUAAUGAUCUCGCAUGAGAACAUUAUUAAAGAAUUUCGGUAAUAGAUGGGGAUGCGUUCCAUUAGAUUGUUGGUGAGGUAACGGCUCACCAAGUCUUCGAUGGAUAGGGGUUCUGAGAGGAAGGUCCCCCACACUGGUACUGAGACACGGACCAGACUCCUACGGGAGGCAGCAGUGAGGAAUAUUGGUCAAUGGCCGAGAGGCUGAACCAGCCAAGUCGCGUGAGGGAUGAAGGUUCUAUGGAUCGUAAACCUCUUUUAUACGGGAAUAAAGUGUAGGACGUGUCCUAUUUUGUAUGUACCGUUUGAAUAAGGAUCGGCUAACUCCGUGCCAGCAGCCGCGGUAAUACGGAGGAUCCGAGCGUUAUCCGGAUUUAUUGGGUUUAAAGGGUGCGUAGGUGGUUAUUUAAGUCAGCGGUGAAAGUUUGUGGCUCAACCAUAAAAUUGCCGUUGAAACUGGAUGACUUGAGUGUGUCUGGGGCAGGCGGAAUGCGUGGUGUAGCGGUGAAAUGCUUAGAUAUCACGCAGAACCCCGAUCGCGAAGGCAGCUUGCCAAGCCACGACUGACACUGAAGCACGAAAGCGU